AUUGAACGCUGGCGGCAUGCCUUACACAUGCAAGUCGAACGGUAACGGGCCUUCGGGUGCCGACGAGUGGCGAACGGGUGAGUAAUACAUCGGAACGUGCCCGAUCGUGGGGGAUAACGAGGCGAAAGCUUUGCUAAUACCGCAUACGAUCUACGGAUGAAAGCAGGGGACCGCAAGGCCUUGCGCGGACGGAGCGGCCGAUGGCAGAUUAGGUAGUUGGUGGGAUAAAAGCUUACCAAGCCGACGAUCUGUAGCUGGUCUGAGAGGAUGAUCAGCCACACUGGGACUGAGACACGGCCCAGACUCCUACGGGAGGCAGCAGUGGGGAAUUUUGGACAAUGGGCGCAAGCCUGAUCCAGCCAUGCCGCGUGCAGGAUGAAGGCCUUCGGGUUGUAAACUGCUUUUGUACGGAACGAAAAGCCUUCUUUUAAUACAGGAGGGUCAUGACGGUACCGUAAGAAUAAGCACCGGCUAACUACGG
RNAcentral lists this ribosomal RNA (481 nucleotides) under uncultured bacterium. Its description in RNAcentral is "partial 16S ribosomal RNA". It matches the Rfam family "Bacterial small subunit ribosomal RNA", at positions 30 to 506 of the family's 1533-position model. The record is from RNAcentral.